RNAcentral lists this ribosomal RNA (26 nucleotides) under Coniosporium sp. MA4783. Its description in RNAcentral is "partial 18S ribosomal RNA". Lineage: Eukaryota; Fungi; Ascomycota; Dothideomycetes. The record is from RNAcentral. RNAcentral also lists the same sequence under 5 other names.
CCUUCCGUAGGUGAACCUGCGGAAGG